AACUGUUAGGGGUGUUCCUCACCUUAUGGAGAAAACAACGGCAAUAGGCACUGCCCGUGGGGGAUGCGGUCGCAAAAAUGAAACUCAAAGGAAUUGAGGGGGCCCCGCACAAGCAGUGUAGCAUGUGGUUUGAUUCGAAGAAACGCGAAGAACCUUACCAGAUCUUGACAUCCUUUGACCGCUCUAGAGAUGGAGUUUUCCUCUUCGGAGGACAAAGUGACAGGUGGUGCAUGGUUGUCGUCAGCUCGUGUCGUGAGAUGUUGGGUUGCGUCCCGCAGCGAGCGCAACCCUUGAAC
RNAcentral lists this ribosomal RNA (296 nucleotides) under Staphylococcus pseudintermedius. RNAcentral's name for it is "partial 16S ribosomal RNA". It matches the Rfam family "Bacterial small subunit ribosomal RNA", at positions 817 to 1110 of the family's 1533-position model. The record is from RNAcentral. Lineage: Bacteria; Bacillati; Bacillota; Bacilli; Caryophanales; Staphylococcaceae.